AACGAACGCUGGCGGCAUGCCUAACACAUGCAAGUCGAACGAGACCUUCGGGUCUAGUGGCGCACGGGUGCGUAACGCGUGGGAACCUGCCCUUAGGCUCGGAAUAACUCUCCGAAAGGGGUGCUAAUACCGGGAAAUGUACUCGGAUCAAAUAUUUAUCCCGUUUGGAUGGGCACGCGUUGGUUUAGCUAGUUGGUAGGGUAAAAGCCUAUCAAGGCGACGAUACAUAGCUGGUCUGAGAGGAUGAUCAGCCACACUGGGACUGAGAUACGGCCCAGACUCCUGCGGGAGGCAGCAGUGGCGAAUAUUGGACAAUGGGCGAGAUCCUGAUCCAGCAAGGCCGGGUGAGUGAUGAAGGCGUGAGAGAUGUAAAGCUCUUUUACCCGGGAUGAUAAUGACAGUACCGGGAGAAUAAGCUCCGGCUAACUCCGUG
This 433-nucleotide ribosomal RNA is filed under the name uncultured bacterium. RNAcentral describes it as "partial 16S ribosomal RNA". It matches the Rfam family "Bacterial small subunit ribosomal RNA", at positions 29 to 507 of the family's 1533-position model. The record is from RNAcentral.